GCUUUCUCACCUCAUGGAAAUCGCAAAUUCUAGAGAUGACGGGAUGAGUUUUCCGAAGCUGUGGGUGACCUAAGGUUCAUUUUGGUAACACAGGAAACUCAAAAGCAUCAUGCGGUGGAAACAUAAAGCAAUUAGAGAAGGUCCAAUGUUUGUGCAUGUUGCAUUCUUUCUAAAAUGCUUGAUAAUGGAUGCCUCAAAACAUGAUGUUACAAGACUAUAGUAAUGGCAAGCAGACUGGAAAUAGCCCAACUUGAGAAUUAGGCGGCUUCGUUUUCUAAAUUGCAAUUUGGAGAAGCAUCCUUGGUGGUGGAUCAGGACCAAGUUUCCUAAAAAGGGACACCGGUGAGAGUGAGCCCUGUCAUGCCCAGACCCGGUCGCACCAGGAGGUGUUGUAGGCGAGUUAGGUUAUUUGGGAAUGCAACCCCAAUUUGGCGGUAAAUUCUAUCCAAGGCUAAAUACGGGUAAGAAAUUGGUAACAAACAAGUACCUGGAGGGAAAGAUGAAAAAGACUCUAAAAAGAAAGUUAAAGAGUGCCUGAAAUUAUUGGGCCAGGGAGUCUGACAUGUGUGCGAGUCAACGGGCGAGUAAACCCGUAAGGCGUAAGGAAGCUGACCGGCGCGAUCCCCCCCGAGGGGUGCAACGCCGACCGACCUUGAUCUUCUGAGAAGGGUUCGAGUGAGCAUACCUGUCGGGACCCGAAAGAUGGUGAACUAUGCCUGAGCGGGGCGAAGCCAGAGGAAACUCUGGUGGAGGCCCGCAGCGAUACUGACGUGCAAAUCGUUCGUCUGACUUGGGUAUAGGGGCGAAAGACUAAUAGAACCAUCUAGUAGUAGCGGGAUCUUUUUGAAGUUUCCUUUAGGAUAGCUGGAACUUAAGUGCGGGUUCUAUCGUGUAAAACCAAUGAUUAGAGGCAUCGAGGGCGCAACACCCUCGACCUAUUCUCAAACUUUAAAUAGGUAGGACGGCGCGGCUGCUUCGUUGAGCCGUGCCAAGGAAUCGAGAGCUCCAAGUGGGCCAUUUUUGGUAAGCAGAACUGGCGAUGCGGGAUGAACCGGAAGCCGGGUUACGGUGCCCAACUGCGCGCUAACCUAGAUCCCACAAAGGGUGUUGGUCGAUUAAGACAGCAGGACGGUGGUCAUGGAAGUUGAGAUUCGCUAAGGAAUGUGUAACAACUCGCCUGCCAAAUCAACUAGCCCCGAAAAUGGAUGUCGCUUAAGCGCGACCUAUACUCGGCUGUUAGGGUAGGAACUAGGCCUCGAUGAGUAAGAGGGCACGACAGUCGCUGCUCACGCCUAGGGUAGAGCGAUUGUCAAUAUGGAUCUCUUGGUGGUAGUAAUAAAUAUUCAAAUGAGAACUUUGAAGGUAGAAAAAGGGGAAAUGUUCGUGAAUGGUACUGGCACAGGGGUUAAUCGAUCCUAAAGGUCGGGGAAAACCCAACAGAUAGCGUGUUCAGUGCGUGCUUUGAAAGGGAAUCAGGUUAAAAUUCCUGAACCGAGACGUGGCGGUUGAUGGCAACAUUAAGGAGUUCGGUGAUGUCGACAGGAGGUCUCGGGAAGAGUUUUCUUUUCUGUUUAACAGCCUACCUACCCUAGAAAUGGCUUAGCUAGAGACGGGGUCCAACAACUGGAAGAGCACCACACGAUACAUGGCGUCUAGUGUGUCCCUGGCGACCAUUGAAAAUUCAGAAGAUCGAGUGCCAUUCGGGCCCGGUUAUACUCAUAACCACAUCAGGUCUCCACAGUGAAUAGCCUUUGGUCGAUGGAAUAAUGUAAGCAAGGGAAGUCGAUAAAAAUGGAUCUGUAACCUAGAGAAACAGAUUGGCUCUGAGGGUUUGGCACGGGGGCCCCAGUCCUGAAGUCGUCAACUAUUGGCGAAUUGCUCACGUGGCAAGAUCAGAUUGUUGCAUGUCACAUGAGGAAUGGACUAGGAAUAGCUCUUUUGGAGGAAUCCAACUGUUUUAUUAAAAUAAAGCAUUGCGAUGGUCUCUGCAGAUGUUCUGUGAUUUUUGCCCAGUGCUUUGAAUGUCAAAGUGAAGAAAUUCAACUAAGCGCGAGUAAACGGUGGAAGUAACUAUGGCUCUCUUAAGGUAGCCAAAUGUCUCGUUAUCUAAUUAGUGAUGCGCAUGAAUGGAUUAAUGAGAUUACCACUGUCCUCGUCUACUAUCCAGUGAAACUAUAGCCCAACGAAAUGGGCUUGGCGGAAUCAGUAGGGAAAAAAAGACCCUGUUGAGUUUGAUCUAGUCCAACUUUGUGAAAUGACUUGAUAGAUGUAGGAUAAGUACGAGUCGAAAGGCGAAAGUGAAAUGCCACUACUUUUAACAUUAUUUUAGUUAUUCGGUGAAUCGGAUGCGGGGUAUUGCCCUUUUCUUUUGAACCCAAGGCCUGCUUCGGCAAGCUGAUCCGAGCGGAAGACAUUGUUAAGUGGGGAGUUUGGCUAGGGCAGCACAUCUAGUAAAAGGUAACGCAAGUAUCCUGAGAUGAGCUCAAUGAGAAUAUAAAUCUCGUGUGGAACAGAAGGGUAAAAGCUCGUUUGAUUCUAAUUUUCAAUAUGAAUACAAACCGUGAAGGUGUGGCCUAAGGAUCCUUUAGACCUUCGAAAUUUGAAGCUAGAGGUGUAUGAAAAGUUACCACAGGGAUAACUGGCUUGUGGCAGCCAAGCAUUCACAGUGACAUUGCUUUUCAUCCUUCGAUGUUAGCUCUUCCUAUCAUUGUGAAGCAGAAUUCCGCAAAGUGUUGGAUUGUUCACCCAUCAAUAGGGAAUGUGAGCUGGGUUUAGACAGUCGUGAGACAGGUUAGUUUCACUGUACUGAUGACAGUGCCAAAAAUAGUAAUUUAACCUAGUACAAUAGGAACCGUUGAUUCGCCUAAUUGGCCAUCAUGCUUGGUUGAAAAGCUAGUAGUGCGAAGCUAUCAUGUGCUGGACUAUAACUGAACACCUUUAAGUCAGAAUCCGGGCUAGAAACGACGCAUACACCUAUCGUCUUUUUGUUGACCUACAAUAGGGGCUUCAUGGCCCCCAAGGGCAUGUGUCGUUGGCCAAGCCCUCACGAUAAAUGAGCCGCAUUGGCCGCUUUGAGUCACAGUU
This 3084-nucleotide ribosomal RNA is filed under the name Handroanthus impetiginosus. Its description in RNAcentral is "eukaryotic LSU rRNA". It matches the Rfam family "Eukaryotic large subunit ribosomal RNA". The record is from RNAcentral. Lineage: Eukaryota; Viridiplantae; Streptophyta; Magnoliopsida; Lamiales; Bignoniaceae.